UUAAAGUUUGAUUCUUUCUUUGUUUCUUAUGAAUAUAUUAUUGAAAUUGCAUGAAAAUUGUGGUGUGAAUAGGUACCGUUUAUUUAUUGGAUGGUAAUUGUUAAUAAAUUUAUUAAAUUUAGAGUUUUUGAUAUAAGAAAUCUCAGCAUACAGUAUUAAAUAUUGACAUAUUAACGUAUGGUUUAGCAAUAAUUUAAGGUCUGAUAAAAUAUUGUGCCAGCAGUCGCGGUUAUACUAUGAGGCCAAGUGAGGAUUGUGUUAGUUUUUGUUAAAUGAUAUUAUAGUAAUAAUAGAAUUAAAAUAAAUAAAAGGUGAAAUUGGAUUGUUGUUUUGUAAGGAAGGUGUUGAAUAUUACUUUAAUUGAAACUAAGAGAUUCUGGAUUUAAACUAGGAUUAGAUACCCUAUUAUACUAGAAUGGGAUUAUAUAAAGCUUGAUUAUUAAUAGAUAUAUUCUUUAAAUUUGAAGAAUUUGGCGGUGAUUUAGUCUUGUCAGAGGAACCUGUUUUUUAAUCGAUAAACCACGAAAAAUCUUACUUAUUAGUUAGAAAGUUUGUAUACCAUCAUUAUUAGAUAAUUUCGAGAGAAGAAAUUAUUGUUUAUUAUUGAAUUAAAGAAAUUAGAUCAAGGUGCAGCUUAUAAAUAAGUUAAAAUGGGUUACAAUAAGUUUUAUUUAUUACGGAAAAGUGUAGGAAGAUAUAUUUGGAAGGAGGAUUUGAUUGUAAUAUAAAUUUAAUAUGGUUAGAAGAUAUAAGCUCUAAAUCAUGUACAUAUCGCCCGUCGCUUU
RNAcentral lists this ribosomal RNA (785 nucleotides) under Daldorfia horrida. RNAcentral's name for it is "12S ribosomal RNA". Lineage: Eukaryota; Metazoa; Arthropoda; Malacostraca; Decapoda; Parthenopidae. The record is from RNAcentral.